AGUAUAAGCAAUCUAUACGGUGAAACUGCGAAUGGCUCAUUAAAUCAGUUAUCGUUUAUUUGAUAGUACCUUACUACUUGGAUAACCGUGGUAAUUCUAGAGCUAAUACAUGCUAAAAACCCCGACUUACGAAGGGGUGUAUUUAUUAGAUAAAAAACCAAUGCCCUUCGGGGCUCCUUGGUGAUUCAUAAUAACUUAACGAAUCGCAUGGCCUUGUGCCGGCGAUGGUUCAUUCAAAUUUCUGCCCUAUCAACUUUCGAUGGUAGAGUAGUGGUCUACCAUGGUUUCAACGGGUAACGGGGAAUUAGGGUUCUAUUCCGGAGAGGGAGCCUGAGAAACGGCUACCACAUCCAAGGAAGGCAGCAGGCGCGCAAAUUACCCAAUCCCGACACGGGGAGGUAGUGACAAUAAAUACUGAUACAGGGCUCUUUUGGGUCUUGUAAUUGGAAUGAGUACAAUUUAAAUCCCUUAACGAGGAACAAUUGGAGGGCAAGUCUGGUGCCAGCAGCCGCGGUAAUUCCAGCUCCAAUAGCGUAUAUUAAAGUUGUUGCAGUUAAAAAGCUCGUAGUUGAACCUUGGGCCUGGCUGGCCGGUCCGCCUCACCGCGUGCACUGGUCCGGCCGGGUCUUUCCUCCUGGGGAGCUGCAUGCCCUUCACUGGGUGUGUCAGGGAACCAGGACUUUUACUUUGAAAAAAUUAGAGUGUUCAAAGCAGGCCUAUGCUCGAAUACAUUAGCAUGGAAUAAUAGAAUAGGACGUGUGGUUCUAUUUUGUUGGUUUCUAGGACCGCCGUAAUGAUUAAUAGGGAUAGUCGGGGGCAUCAGUAUUCAAUUGUCAGAGGUGAAAUUCUUGGAUUUAUUGAAGACUAACUACUGCG
This 876-nucleotide ribosomal RNA is filed under the name Leotiomycetes sp. RNAcentral's name for it is "SSU rRNA". It matches the Rfam family "Eukaryotic small subunit ribosomal RNA", at positions 62 to 947 of the family's 1831-position model. Lineage: Eukaryota; Fungi; Ascomycota; Leotiomycetes. The record is from RNAcentral.